UCGGUGGAUUCUCUAAGAUGGACAGCGGCGAAAGGGAGAGUAACGAGUGGAUUACCUACCUUCAGGACCGGGAUAGCCGUGGGAAACUGCGGGUAAUACCGGAUAACAUCUCCGGAUCAAAUGGUGUGAUUCCGCCUGAAGAUGGGUCCGCUUCCUAUUAGCUUGUUGGUGGGGUAACGGCCUACCAAGGCAGCAAUGGGUACCGGGUGUGAGAGCAUGGCCCGGCUCACUGGGACUGAGACACUGCCCAGACACCUACGGGUGGCUGCAGUCGAGAAUCUUCCGCAAUGGGCGCAAGCCUGACGGAGCGACGCCGCGUGCGGGAUGAAGGCCUUCGGGUUGUAAACCGCUGUCAGUGGGGAGGAAAUCUAUAGGGGUCAUCCCCUAUAGUUGACCUAUCUUCAGAGGAAGGACGGGCUAAGUUCGUGCCAGCAGCCGCGGUAAGACGAACCGUCCAAACGUUAUUCGGAAUCACUGGGCUUAAAGGGUGCGUAGGCGGCUUGGCAAGUUUGGGUGUGAAAUCCCUCGGCUCAACCGAGGAACUGCGCUCAAAACUGCCAGGCUAGAGGGAGAUAGAGGUGAGCGGAACUUAUGGGUGGGAGCGGUGGAAAUGCGUUGAUAUCAUAGGGAACACCGGGUGGCGAAAGGCGC
RNAcentral lists this ribosomal RNA (651 nucleotides) under uncultured bacterium. Its description in RNAcentral is "bacterial SSU rRNA". It matches the Rfam family "Bacterial small subunit ribosomal RNA", at positions 73 to 725 of the family's 1533-position model. The record is from RNAcentral.